This 690-nucleotide long non-coding RNA is filed under the name Marmota monax (woodchuck). Lineage: Eukaryota; Metazoa; Chordata; Mammalia; Rodentia; Sciuridae. The record is from RNAcentral.
GUUCUUUUGCUAGUGCAGAGGACUGUUUUUCCAAAAAAUGUCACUGGCUUUGUCCACAGUGAGCUGGCAGAGGGUGGGCCACCUCAGUGGGGUUCCAUCACUGUGUCUGCAUCCUCCUGACUGGCUGCUCUCUGCAGCAGACGCACCCAUGCCUGACCAGUGCUGCUGAAGAGCUGUUCCGCUCCUUGCUAGAAGCACACGGUCUGCUAGACUUUCACCAAAGCCAAGAAACACUCAUGGAACAACCAGUUUGUUGAUUUCAAUGGAGUUCAGGGCUCAUCCCCAGGUCAAACCUCUCCUGUCUCCAACCCACCAGCAGCUCUGCGGCUCCCUCUGCAAACCCCGCUUCACUGCGUCUCUCUCCUCCUUGGCUGCCCUGAACCUGGGUUUGGCACACUGAGCUAUGACACAGCCUUACCAAGCCGAGAAUGGACUCAUCAUCUUUAAAGGGGAGUGAACACAACUUCAAUAUGCUACAGAGACAGUAUGCCUUGUACGGAAAAAGCUUGAGGACUCACAUGACCCUUUCUUGCUGAGAGCCUCAGCCGAGUCGGAAUGGCCCCUGGCAUUUUGCCAGAAGUAAUGGUUGAUGAUUAAGAUGAUGCUGGAUUGAUUCAAUUGUAUAUUAGACCUUUACUGUCCACCUCAGGCGCCUGCUACUUUGGAGUUCUCGGGAGGACUGCCUGGGGA